RNAcentral lists this ribosomal RNA (447 nucleotides) under uncultured bacterium. Its description in RNAcentral is "bacterial SSU rRNA". It matches the Rfam family "Bacterial small subunit ribosomal RNA", at positions 330 to 792 of the family's 1533-position model. The record is from RNAcentral.
UCCAGACUCCUACGGGAGGCAGCAGUGGGGAAUAUUGGGCAAUGGACGCAAGUCUGACCCAGCAACGCCGCGUGAAGGAAGAAGGCUUUCGGGUUGUAAACUUCUUUUAAGGGGGAAGAGCAGAAGACGGUACCCCUUGAAUAAGCCACGGCUAACUACGUGCCAGCAGCCGCGGUAAUACGUAGGGGGCAAGCGUUAUCCGGAUUUACUGGGUGUAAAGGGAGCGUAGACGGCGAAGAAAGUCUGAAGUGAAAGCCCGCGGCUCAACCGCGGAAUGGCUUUGGAAACUUUUUUGCUGGAGUACCGGAGAGGUAAGCGGAAUUCCUAGUGUAGCGGUGAAAUGCGUAGAUAUUAGGAGGAACACCAGUGGCGAAGGCGGCUUACUGGACGGUAACUGACGUUGAGGCUCGAAAGCGUGGGGAGCAAACAGGAUUAGAUACCCGUGUA